Molecule: unclassified non-coding RNA, 202 nt
Filed under: plant metagenome
Description: partial contains small subunit ribosomal RNA, internal transcribed spacer 1, and 5.8S ribosomal RNA
Source: RNAcentral
UCUCCGUUGGUGAACCAGCGGAGGGAUCAUUAUCGAGUUAUACAACUCCCAAACCCUAUGUGAACUUACCACUUGUUGCUUCGGCGCGCGCUUCGGCGCCGCCGAGGACACUUGAACUCUUUGUUUUUAUAAGCAUUUCUGAGUGGCCGAAAGGCAAAAUACAAAUGAAUCAAAACUUUCAACAACGGAUCUCUUGGUCCUG